AAGUUUCAGCAGUCAAAAGAGGCCAGAAAUAAAAGGAGUACUUCUGUGGUGCAGAACAGCAGUUGUAGUACCCUGGGACAAGAGAAAACUGUUCUCUUCAGUCUUGUCAGAAGAGGGAAUAAUGGACCUUGCUGCAACAAGGUGGCAGAGCUGGUGCACAAAGAAUCUAUAACUUGCUCAAGGUCGGCCAGAAACCCAUGGCAGAAAGUAGAAUUGCAAUACCCUUACAAUUACGGUUGCAUAGAUGUGUACAAGCUUAUCAAAUUGGACAGAAUUAAGGACACUAUGACAAGGAGAGUUCAGGACACUAAACUAGUUCUUAUGACACACCCUGUGGAUCUACAUUUCACAGAAUCACAGAAUUUUUUCAUCUUCUCUUCAGGAGAAAAGCAUGUGGACUCUCGACUUUUAAUAAGGAUCAAGAUUUCUGAAUGGGCCUUUAAUGUCAUAUUCCAAAGUCCAUCAUACUCCUGAGCAGUGAUCUUUCCAUGGCUUUUUGGUAAACUAUUCCUGUUGAUUUCAUUGUGGAAUCCUUUAGGAGAAUCUCUAUCUCUCCAAAAAUAAAAAACAUUUAAAAUGUAAUUUUUAGUAAGUA
Molecule: long non-coding RNA, 595 nt
Organism: Anser brachyrhynchus (Pink-footed goose)
Lineage: Eukaryota; Metazoa; Chordata; Aves; Anseriformes; Anatidae
Source: Ensembl